GGGGCCUACGGGAGGCAGCAGUGGGGAAUCUUAGACAAUGGGCGCAAGCCUGAUCUAGCCAUGCCGCGUGAGUGAAGAAGGCCUUAGGGUCGUAAAGCUCUUUCGCCUGUGAAGAUAAUGACUGUAGCAGGUAAAGAAACCCCGGCUAACUCCGUGCCAGCAGCCGCGGUAAUACGUAGGGUGCGAGCGUUAAUCGGAAUUACUGGGCGUAAAGCGUGCGCAGGCGGUUUGUUAAGACAGUUGUGAAAUCCCCGGGCUCAACCUGGGAACUGCAAUUGUGACUGGCAGGCUAGAGUUUGGCAGAGGGGGGUGGAAUUCCUGGUGUAGCAGUGAAAUGCGUAGAUAUCAGGAGGAACACCGAUGGCGAAGGCAGCCCCCUGGGCCAUGACUGACGCUCAUGCACGAAAGCGUGGGGAGCAAACAGGAUUAGAUACCCUGGUAGUCCACGCCCUAAACGAUGUCUACUAGUUGUUGGGUCUUCAUUGACUUAGUAACGAAGCUAACGCGUGAAGUAGACCGCCUGGGGAGUACGGCCGCAAGGUUAAAACUCAAAGGAAUUGACGGGG
This 566-nucleotide ribosomal RNA is filed under the name uncultured Alphaproteobacteria bacterium. RNAcentral's name for it is "bacterial SSU rRNA". It matches the Rfam family "Bacterial small subunit ribosomal RNA", at positions 334 to 918 of the family's 1533-position model. The record is from RNAcentral. Lineage: Bacteria; Pseudomonadati; Pseudomonadota; Alphaproteobacteria.